Molecule: ribosomal RNA, 654 nt
Filed under: uncultured Actinomycetes bacterium
Lineage: Bacteria; Bacillati; Actinomycetota; Actinomycetes
Description: bacterial SSU rRNA
Rfam family: Bacterial small subunit ribosomal RNA
Source: RNAcentral
CGCGGCCUAUCAGCUUGUUGGCGGGGUAACGGCCCACCAAGGCGACGACGGGUAGCUGGUCUGAGAGGAUGGCCAGCCACAUUGGGACUGAGAGACGGCCCAGACUCCUACGGGAGGCAGCAGUGGGGAAUCUUGCGCAAUGGCCGAAAGGCUGACGCAGCGACGCCGCGUGUGGGAUGAAGCAUUUCGGUGUGUAAACCACUGUUGCCCGGGACGAACAGCUUCUUUCGAGGAGCCUGACGGUACCGGGUGAGGAAGCACCGGCUAACUCCGUGCCAGCAGCCGCGGUAAUACGGAAGGUGCGAGCGUUGUCCGGAAUCACUGGGCGUAAAGGGCGCGUAGGUGGCGCGACAAGUCAACGGUGAAAGCCCGGGGCUCAACCCCGGGUCGGCCGUCGAUACUGUUGGGCUUGAGCACCGUAGAGGCAGAUGGAAUUCCGGGUGUAGCGGUGGAAUGCGUAGAGAUCCGGAAGAACACCGGUGGCGAAGGCGGUCUGCUGGGCAGUAGCUGACACUGAUGCGCGACAGCGUGGGGAGCAAACAGGAUUAGAUACCCUGGUAGUCCACGCCGUAAACGAUGGGUACUAGAUGCUUGGGGGAGCGACCCUCUGAGUGUCGGCGCUAACGCAUUAAGUACCCCGCCUGGGGAGUACGG